Molecule: ribosomal RNA, 239 nt
Filed under: uncultured bacterium
Lineage: Bacteria
Description: partial 16S ribosomal RNA
Rfam family: Bacterial small subunit ribosomal RNA (bases 1-194)
Source: RNAcentral
UGAGGAACAUGACCUUCGGCGGGGGAUAGCCGGCCCAACGGCCGGGUAAUACCGCGUACGACCACAUGGGGACAUCCCUGAGUGGUGAAAGCAGCAAUGCGCCGAUGGAGUGCCUCGCGGCCUAUCAGCUAGUUGGUGAGGUAAUGGCUCACCAAGGCGACGGACGGGUAGCUGGUCUGAGAGGAUGGCCAGCCCACUAGUUGGGGACUGGAGACACCGGCCCAGAUCCCGUAACGGGG